This 702-nucleotide long non-coding RNA is filed under the name Marmota monax (woodchuck). Lineage: Eukaryota; Metazoa; Chordata; Mammalia; Rodentia; Sciuridae. The record is from RNAcentral.
CCUAGCAGGAAUUUUUCCAGUGCUAAGGUGACCACCCUGGGAUGUUUGCCAAAAAACAUUUACAGACAUAAAUCAAUCACUGCUGCUCGAGGCAUGGGACAGGAGUUGGAGUAAGCUUGGGAUGAAAGCCAGAAUGAGAAGCAUUGGAGAAUAAGGGCUUUGAAAUUUUUUGAUACACGCUUGGGAAUCUGAAAGGGCACAUACAUGCCCUGACCUAUAUACAUACUCCAUACAAAACCAGGAAGAUUCAAAGCUUGCACCUCAGCCUGGCUUUUAGGCUCUGCACAGCUGGAAGUGGAGACUAGGGCAGAGUUGUAGACUGCCUGGAUGAGUAUUGAGUCUUGAUGAAAAUCACACAAAGACACAAUUAAACCAUUAUAGUAAAGAGAGAAUCUUGAAAGCCUUGAAAGAAGUAACUCAUCACAUACAAGGAUCCUUUUAGCUGUUUUGAGAUGAUAAAUAAAGUCUAGACAGUAAUAGAAUGACAAAAUUUUGAAAGGAAAAGAGUUGUCAACCAUGAAUUCUGUGUCCAGCAAAACUAUCAGAAAUGUAAGGAGAGCUGGGCACGGUGGCACACACCUGUAAUCCCAGUGGCUUUGGAGGCUGAGGCAGGAGGAUUGUGAGUUCAAAGCCAGCCUUAGCAACUUAGUGAGGCAUUUAGCAACUCAGAAAGACCCUGUCUCUAAAUAAAAUAUAAAAAAA